AACAAAAUUUCUAACAUUAUUGGAGAGGAUGAAGAUGAUUAUACAGCAUGUUUUUCCUACAUCAAGCACGGUGCAUGUCUUUCAGUUCUUUGGGGAUUUAUUUCUGAAGAGGUUGCUCAGGCUGCAAAUGAAAAAAUGAGUGCUCUUAGAGAUGAACUGACAACCAACCAAACUGAAAGAUGGCAAGCUAUAGGCAUGUUCAGGCACGUACUCUCUUUUGCCGCUCUGUCGUGGAAACUAAAGAAACAUGCUAUUGACUUCUUGCUUUGCAUUAAUGGGCUUGAAAG
RNAcentral lists this unclassified non-coding RNA (287 nucleotides) under Hevea brasiliensis (rubber tree). The record is from RNAcentral. Lineage: Eukaryota; Viridiplantae; Streptophyta; Magnoliopsida; Malpighiales; Euphorbiaceae.